CUGUUCCCAUGCCGAACACAGAAGUUAAGCUCCUUAGCGCCGAUGGUAGUUGGAUUUACGUUCCGCUAGAGUAGGACGUUGCCAGGC
Molecule: ribosomal RNA, 87 nt
Filed under: Staphylococcus haemolyticus
Lineage: Bacteria; Bacillati; Bacillota; Bacilli; Caryophanales; Staphylococcaceae
Source: RNAcentral